UUUCAUUCAAUGACACAGUUAGGACUAUAGGAAUAUAUUUAGCUUUUAUUUCUCUGUGUUUGGAUUGAGCGAUUGUUUUUGGUUAUGUUGUGCAGGAUAAAUAGAUAAAGCCAAAAAGAGUAAAGAUUAGAUGGAAGAAAAUAGAAGUAGGUGUUGAGACAAUGGGAAAACCAGUUGAAGGACCAAAAGAAGUUCAAAGCAGGGAAACAAGCAUAGUAGAAGUGCCAUUGAAUCGAAGAGAAGCAACUUAAAUCGAAGACACCACACAUAUUCAGGUCGUGCUUGGGCCCAUCCCCAUGUCCCAUAACCCAUAGUCAUGUUCCACCACCCAUAUUCACGCAUCGCUAAUCCCACAGCCAUGAUCAUGUACCUAGGCCGUGCCCAUCACCCACGGUCGUAUGUCAUGCAGUUGUUGAAGACCACUCAAAGAGGCCACGAUCCAUGACCAGGUCGUGUCCCAAACAAAUGGUCGUGGAUUUCCUGAUUCUAUUCCUACUUUUCAGAUUUGUUUCGUUGGGCUUAGCCUAAUCCCUUAUAACUAGGAUAAAUGAGAGUUCUCCCUCAAAAAUUGAACACAUUUUUACAUUGUUUAGGUUUUAACAUUGCUAUUCUCUUGAUUAGAAUUUUGUAAUCUCAUCCC
This 640-nucleotide long non-coding RNA is filed under the name Lupinus angustifolius (narrow-leaved blue lupine). RNAcentral describes it as "long non-coding RNA (LANG_LNC003316)". The record is from RNAcentral. Lineage: Eukaryota; Viridiplantae; Streptophyta; Magnoliopsida; Fabales; Fabaceae.